This 254-nucleotide ribosomal RNA is filed under the name uncultured bacterium. RNAcentral's name for it is "partial 16S ribosomal RNA". It matches the Rfam family "Bacterial small subunit ribosomal RNA", at positions 524 to 776 of the family's 1533-position model. The record is from RNAcentral.
UACGUAGGGUGCAAGCGUUGUCCGGAAUUAUUGGGCGUAAAGAGCUCGUAGGCGGUGUGUCGCGUCGGCCGUGAAAACCUGGGGCUUAACCCUGAGCUUGCGGUCGAUACGGGCAUGACUGGAGUUCGGUAGGGGAGACUGGAAUUCCUGGUGUAGCGGUGAAAUGCGCAGAUAUCAGGAGGAACACCGGUGGCGAAGGCGGGUCUCUGGGCCGAUACUGACGCUGAGGAGCGAAAGCGUGGGGAGCGAACAGG